RNA transcript from Drosophila navojoa, 2396 nucleotides. It is a transcript of the gene named tRNA pseudouridine(38/39) synthase, with no coding region annotated. Lineage: Eukaryota; Metazoa; Arthropoda; Insecta; Diptera; Drosophilidae. The record is from RefSeq and is a predicted model, not a curated record.
UUUGUUUAUAUGUGAAAUGAACAAGAAAAUAGUUAUAAAUAAACGUGUGAAGGGCCAAACUCGCGAAGAGUUGACUCAGUUAAGCAAAACAGAAUUGAUUGACAAAAUUGUGCAGCUAGAAGCGUACAACUUUCAGCUGAAAAAUCUUUUACAAAAGAAACUGUCCGAGGCGGACAAAAAGAAUUCUGAAUAUGCUGUUGUAUUACGCGGGGCGGACGGGGAUGAAGUACCAAACAAAAAUGUUUCGGAAACCGUCAAAGAUGUACCUAAAAACAAAGACAAACAACGUAAGUUUAAUUGGACCAGUGCGCACCAGAGGCAUGUUUUAAUGAAAAUAACGUAUUUUGGCUGGGAUUAUCAGGGAUUUGCUUGUCAGGAGGACUCCGCUGAUACGAUUGAAGGACAUUUAUUUCGUGCCUUGGAGCGCACUUGUCUCAUCGAAUCCCGUGCUACUUCCAAUUACCAUCGAUGCGGUCGCACCGACAAGGAAGUGAGCGCCUUCUGCCAAGUGAUAUCAAUUAAUUUGCGUAGCAAGCACUCACCCGAUACUCAAAUGGAGCCAGAGUCGCUAAGUACUGAAAUAGAUUAUUGCAGUCUGUUAAACCGUGUGCUGCCCAAAAAUAUACAAUGCGUAUCCUGGAUGCCGUUGCGAAAUCCGGAGUAUAGCGCUCGAUUUGAUUGCAUUUCACGUACCUAUCGCUACUAUUUUCCCAAGGGCGAUUUGGACAUUGACUCAAUGCAGCAGGCCUGUCAGCUACUGGUGUGCCACGGAGACUUUAGGAACUUUUGUAAAAUGGAUGUGCACAAUGGCGUUACGAAUUACAUGCGUAACUUGCAGCAUGCCGAGAUAAAGCCAUGCCACAGUACAGAAACUAAGUUAGAGGAAGGCUCAGGCUACAUCAUGUAUUAUUUGGAGAUAAAAGCAAAUGCUUUCCUAUGGCAUCAAAUACGCUGCAUCAUGGCUGUGCUGCUGCUGGUUGGACAAAAGCACGAGCAGCCAUCCAUUAUUACUAAAUUACUCGAUGUGGGCAGUAAUCCUUGUAAGCCCCAGUAUACGCCUGCUAUUGGGCUACCACUGAACCUGUUCCAUUGUGAAUUUCGAUCGCACAGCACGCGUCAAUCGAAUCCUCCAGCUGCGGAUGACGAAAUUGCAAAUUUGUCACAGAUUGCGAUUGUGGAAAGCGAAAGCCAAAGUGAUCUAACCAAUUGGGUAUACAGUGAAGAGAAUCUACAGAAGUUGAUAGAGAACGUGCAGAGUGAGUGGACGCAGUUCAGUGUCAAGUGCACCAUGAUACGCAAUGUCUUAGUGGAACUGGAGGCACUGCUUGAGCAGAAUUUCAAGGCACCGCAGAUUCAAGCACAGGCCAUGCUGCUGCAGGAUGCGGCCAAGCCGCGCCAGUAUCAACCAUUGCUGCAGCGCAAACGAUGUGAGAGCCUGGAGAAUCGCAUUGACCAUUUUGUGAAAAAGCAACGACUGCUUGUAAAAAGCGACACAACGACGGAGACGAAUAAAAGUGAAAGUAAUGAAGAUUAAUUAAUUUACUCCAGCUUGAUAUGAAUUCCUUGUGGUGCUUAGAUUUGCUGGUCUGUUGCCAUUUGGCUGCAAAUCCAAUCAGUUAUAUCAUCCACUCUUCAUAGCAAACAAACCGCAACGUUUCAGUGCAUGUCACAUACGAAGGCUUGCAUUGCGAAUCAUCAGUCAAAUGGAUCACAUAAUGCCACGCUUUGUCACACUUGGUCGCUUAUGGGAUUUAGGGCCCCUAACCGAAACCACAGUCCAGACCAUAAAAGUACCAUCCCAGACCGACCCAGAGCCAGCGCCCGUGCGCUUUGGAUCACAUUACGCACAGUGGAGCCCGGGCCCGGCUGCAGAGUGUAAAAAGUAUACGACAGACUAGGUUGAAAGUUUUCCGUCUGAGUUAUGUUUGUGCCACGCUUUUUCGCCCAAUUGUCCACUGUGCAGAGUAAAAUCGGGUCAAUACGGUAUUUCAGGGCGUGCUUUAUACCUUUAACAUAAACACACACCAUGCCCACUUUCGAGUAUCGAUGACAAUCGCGAGUGCUUGAUGAUGCGUUGACACAUGCGGAAAUCUUUUCAUUCAACGAACCAAAUAACUCGAACUGAGUCAAAUUGAUUUUAUAUAUUGUAUGUUGAAUGCCCAUUGAAUGGGCUGCAAAUAACUGAACUAGUUCCGCAAAGCCUUUGUUAUGUUACGUUUAAAGGAAUUGUCUGAUUGGCUGUACACUGCUCUUAUACUUACGCAUACAGGCACAUGUGCAUGCUAACAACUAGCGUAAGUUAGAGCGAGAUGACCCAAUUAGCAUACGCGACUGUGGGGUGUGUAUUGCAAGCUGCAAGCUGCAAAGAAUUGCUGUAUUGUCUACAUAGCUAUGUG